CCGCGGAGACCGUGCGUUGGCUCCACCGCCGCGGCCUUUCCUUCCUCCCGUCCCUCCGCCGCCUCCCGCUCGGGCCUGAGCGCGGGUCCGCGGCCGGCAGGGGGCGCUGCCGCGGCUGCGGGCCUCGUUCCGGGGGGCCGCGGCCUCUGGUCCCCGCUAGGUCCCCGCUAGGUCCCCGGAGGCCCCCACCCGGUCCACAAGCCACCCCUGAGCCUCACGCCACCGGGGGACGGAAGAGAGUCCCCGGGCCACCGGAGGAGCUGUCUUUUUACGGGCUGGGCUCGAUGCAGGAGCAGCGAGGCCUACAGGGAAGCCACAUCUGACUCGACUCCGGGGGAUUUAUGGUAAUAGGAAAAGCAGUGAAUGGGAGUUCCUGCUGUCCUCACCAGCAUCUCAUGUUGUCAGUGCUUUGGAUCUUAGCCAUUCUAGAUGGAAAAUCAGUGCGUGGGCAGUGAAAGGGAAGUCCAGCCUCACGGAGGGGCUAUUCCUGUGGGUCUCCAGAACAUUCCUCCCACCCCACCCACCUCAUGACAAACUGAGGCAGUGUCCUAAUGCUUCCGAAUAACAAAGCGUCUGAGGCUCUGAAGUUCAGUGUGAAAACGCACAUGUUCGGCUGUAUUGGAAAGCACGGCAAAGAGAAAGUGAGAUUCUCCGCAGUGUGUACGGCCCCAGGGAAAACAAAUCAUUGUGCAAAGCUGGUUCUGAAUCCCAGCUCCCUCCUAAAUCGGACUUUCCGCCUAAUGGAAGGUGGAGAGACACGUGGAGUAAGGAUAAGUGAGCCAGUUUUUAAGCUGAGGCUUCCUGUAGGAGUUGCAGCAGCCGUGUGACUUUGGACAAAUAUGUAAGUACCUUAAUUAAGCUACCGAAAGUACGGAGGCUAAAGUGUUUGCGACACGCGCUAAAACAUACGAGAGCUUCUCUGAAGAUAAGGAAAAGGGGUCUUGGAAAGUAUAGACCGUCCUUCUCUUCUGCUACCGUGUUUUAUUCCAUAGGAGGUAAUGGUAAUGACGAGGUUUUGAUCCUUAUCAUGCACCGGGCAUUAUCCUAAGCACUCCAUGCCUUAUUUAAUCCUCAAACAAUCCUUUGAAAUAGGUUAUGAUUAUGAUACCCAUUUUAUAGAUGAAGAAGCUGAGGCAGAGAAAGGUUAAGCAGCUGGCUUAUAGUCACACAGCCAGUAAGGUGCCGAGUCAGGGUUUGAACGUGGGACCCCGGAGCCUGGAGCCCUCCCGUCUCCUUGGGUCUGCAGCCCGAUAGUAAACUGAAGGAGGAAAAUUGCAGUCCACUUCCUGGGCAACAGGGGGAGUCUAGUUCCCCUUUAGCAACCAUACGGUAAGAAUGUUCAAAUAAUUAUUAUUCCGGAGCCUACAGCAGAGCUUUCUCUGAUGAGAAUCACAAAUUGUAUCCUUCUUGAGAUGCUUACAGUCUAAACCUGAGAUGCCCAGCUUGGUAGCCACUAGCCACAGGUGGCUGUUUAAGUUUAAAUGAACUGAUCAGUGGAAUAUGAGAGUCCAGCUAUAGACCCCACACAGACACCAAACACUGAUCUUCAAUAAAGGGACAAAGGUGAUUCAGUGGACAAAGGGUGAUCUUUUCAACAAAUGGUACUGAAACAAGUGUAUAUUCGUAUUGAAAAAACUGAACAAUCCCCGCCUUGCCCCGUAUGCAAAGUAGUGCAUUUAACGGUCCAUUUAACUCAAAAUGGACCAUACAUCGAAAGGAAAAAAGAUCUAUGAAAUUUAUAGAUGAAAACGUAGUGAAAAAACCUUUGCGACUUUGGGCUAGGCAAAGAUUUCUUAGGUGCUCCACUGAAAACAUGACCCAUAAGAGACUAAAUUAAACUGGGCUUCCUCAGAAUUAAAACUCCCCUCUUUGAAAAACAUUCAGAAAUUAAAAAGACAAGUAAUCACCUGGGAGAAAAUAUUUGCACAUCACGUAUUUGAUAAGGGACUUGCAUCUACAAUAUGUAAAGAACCUUCAAAACUCUGUGAUAAGAAAACAAUAUAAUACAAAAUGAACACUUCACCGAAGAAGAUAUACCAAUGCCAAAUAAUCCCAUGCAAAGAUACUCAACAUCAUGAGACAGCAGGGAAAUAAAAAUUAAAACCGCAAUGAGAGGGGCGCCUGGGUGGCUCAGUCGGUUAAGCGUCCGACUUUGGCUCAGGUUAUGAUGGCGCAGUCUGUGAGUUCAGGCCCCUCGUCAGGCUCUGUGCUGACAGCUCGGAGCCUGGAGCCUGCUUCCGAGUCUGUGUCUCCCUCUCUCUCUCUCUCUCUCUCUCUCUCUGCGCCUCUCCCACUCGCACUCUGUCUCUGUUUCUCAAAAAUAAACAUUAAAAAAAAAAAAACAGCAAUGAGAUAACCCUAUAGACCCGUCAGAAUGGCUACAAUUAGAGACUGAUCAUACCCGUCGUUGGCCGGUUUCGUGGAGGACCAGGCAGGAACGGUACCACCACUUUGGAGAAGUUUGCCUGUUUCUUCACAAGGUAAACAAAACGCCCACCAUGAUCCAGCCAUUCUACUUGUAGGAAUUUACCCAAGAGAAAUGAAAGCCUAAGUCUCUGCAAAGAUUUGUGCAAGAAUGCUCAUAGCAGCUUCACGUGUUCAUUGCCAAAAAGUGGAAACCACCGAAAAAUCCAUCAACAGGUGACCUUGUGGCAUCUCCACAUAAUUAAAUAUUAUUCAGCAAUAAAAGGAAACCAACAGAGACCACGUGGGUGAAUCUCAAAAUAAUUUUGCUGAAUGAAAGAAGCCAGAUCCCCCCCCCAAAAAAAUAUAUAUAUACGGAAGGCAUGAUUCCAUUUACAUUAUAUCCUAAGGAAUGCAAACUAAUCUCUAAUGACAGAAAGCGGAACAGUGCUUACCUGAGUGUGUGCAUGGGGGGUGGGGAGGGGGCAACGACAGAGGGAUAUAAAGGGGUGGCAUGAGGAAACUUCUGGACAUGCUCUGCAUAUUCACUACUGUGAUUGUGGUAAUGCUUUCACAGGCACAUGUGUCAAAACAUCAAUUUUUACACUUCAUGUGCAGUUCAUUGAUGCCUUUUAUACCUCAAAAUGGCUGUUGAAACUUUUAAAUGUUCAAAUAAAAUUUAAAAUUCAGUUGCCCUAGCCGUAUUUCCAGUGCUCAAUAGCCUCGUGUAGCUAGUGGCCACCGUAUUGGAUGAGAACAUUCCCAUUAUAGCAGAAAGUUCUAUCCCACAGUGCUGGUACAAACACAGCAUCUCCUGCCCCAGGCUGGCAGGAAGUUCUACUAAAAAGGAACGUUUCUUCUGGCCAAAGAGCCCACUGCCUCUUUUGUCUACAGAGCAAAAUGGAUGGUGGAGGGGAGGGACAUUUGUCACAAGCAAUCGUCUGCCAUCAGGACAGGCCGUUAGAAAGGGGCCACGUGGCAGGUGCUGCUGGAGGGUAGGGAAAGGGGGUAGGGAAACCUCAGGAUGAGCUCUGAGGCUGGGGAGACCUCCUGCUAAGUGACUUGGGAGGAGGAGAGGGAGGAAGGAGAGGAGGAGGGAGGGGCGCAGAGGUAGCACUGACAAGUGGCAGAAUCGUAGAAAGCUCCCUCUCCUCUAGCGAUGGAUCUUUUGGUUCAAACUGGACGAGGGAGACAGGACCCUGGACGGGAAGGGAUGGGGUCAGAUCUCAACAGGAUUAAGGACAAAAAGCCACAGCCAGGAGAAUCCAGGUCUCCUGACGCUGGGAAUCUAAGGUGUUGGUGAUUAGGAAACUAAGUAGACGUUGUGAUUGUGUGAGGACUGUCGAGCACGCCCCUUUCUUCAGUCGUACCAAUUGGGAGCACAGGUAUGUUGCUCUCUAGCUGUGUUCCUCAGACUCCAUGCACCCUUGGGUGAUCUACCUGUCCAGUGUGGCCGGGGGAAGCCACAGCCCCUCCUGAGAAUAAGUGUUUAAGUGGGUGAAAUCAGGUACACAGAAUUACAAAGAAACCCCCCGGGGGUGUUAAAAGGCAGUUCUGUGCCCAGAGCCUCUCUGUGCGGGACCGGGAACCUCACUACAGGGCCAACGAGGCCCCGCAGUGAAUCUGUUCUGGCAAUUUGGCAGUUCUCACCCCGAUUCCGGAGCCCACAGGACAGAGGACUCCUGCCCUCCCCGAGGGCGGCCGCAGGGUCGUCUCAGCCUGUCCUGCGACUAAGUUCAGGCUCCAACUCCUCCUCCUCCAGUAUCUAUGUUUGAAAAUAUCCAUUUGACAAAAAUAUGUUGGGGAGGAGGCCUCAGUGCAGCGCUGGGAUGAGACCCUCACGUGGAAC
Molecule: long non-coding RNA, 4252 nt
Organism: Panthera uncia (snow leopard)
Lineage: Eukaryota; Metazoa; Chordata; Mammalia; Carnivora; Felidae
Exons: 4
Source: RefSeq, a predicted model, not a curated record